Molecule: unclassified non-coding RNA, 741 nt
Filed under: Onthophagus andalusicus
Lineage: Eukaryota; Metazoa; Arthropoda; Insecta; Coleoptera; Scarabaeidae
Description: sequence contains 5.8S rRNA gene and ITS2
Source: RNAcentral
CUUCGAACGCACAUUGCGGUCUUCGGAUACUGUUCCUGGACCACUCCUGGCUGAGGGUCGUUUCAAUUUCCACGACUGCCGGGCGUGUCGUUACAUGCGCCGCUACGUACGGUGCUCGCCGCCGAGGCAAAUAUAUGGCCGUUCGCGAGAAGCCGUAACGUCGUUCGUUUCGUAUAGCCCCGCAUUAGUUCGGAGGCGGCGGAACGUUUACACACGAUGUAAGCUAUAUCGCGUCGGUUUAAAUUACCGCCACUAUAAUUAAGGUUCGCGGCGAACAGCGUGUUAUUAUACACGCCCGUCGGAACUCGACUGUGGUCGACGUGUCAGAGACGAGACCGAGGAUGAUAUGAUGAAAUGCUUCUUGCAUAUUCUCGUUAUCCCAAGAGUUUUGCGUUGCGGGGAACGGGUAUCGUCGUCGUAGUCGUCGUCGAAGUAUUUGUCAGUGUUUAUUGUUCAGCGAUAACGAAGGUAGUGAUGUAAGUACGAUGACCAAGAAGAAGUCCGUCGUCUUCUCAUUAUUUAUUAUGUCGCGAUAACUAACACAUAGACAAGACUCGCGCUCGACGACAGAUUACCACGUUUAACCAACCGUCGUCAGACCUAUCGGUUCGACAUUCGCCGCGGGUUAGAGUUAACUCGUCGCCCAUAGAAGCGACGGAACCACAACCCCAUUGUGCGAAUAACGGGCGUGUGCCGUUUGUGUGACCGACGAAAAGGCGUGUUUAUAAAUUUUAUGAACGA